ACGAACGCUGGCGGCGUGCUUAACACAUGCCAGUCGAACGGAAAGGCCCUGCUUUUGUGGGGUGCUCGAGUGGCGAACGGGUGAGUAACACGUGAGUAACCUGCCCCUGACUUUGGGAUAACUUCAGGAAACUGGGGCUAAUACCGGAUAGCAGCUCCUGCUGCCUGGUGGGGGUUGGAAAGUUUCGGCGGUUGGGGAUGGACUCGCGGCUUAUCAGCUUGUUGGUGGGGUAGUGGCUUACCAAGGCUUUGACGGGUAGCCGGCCUGAGAGGGUGACCGGCCACAUUGGGACUGAGAUACGGCCCAGACUCCUACGGGAGGCAGCAGUGGGGAAUAUUGCACAAUGGGCGGAAGCCUGAUGCAGCAACGCCGCGUGCGGGAUGACGGCCUUCGGGUUGUAAACCGCUUUCGCCUGUGACGAAGCGUGAGUGACGGUAAUGGGUAAAGAAGCACCGGCUAACUACGUG
Molecule: ribosomal RNA, 467 nt
Filed under: uncultured bacterium
Lineage: Bacteria
Description: partial 16S ribosomal RNA
Rfam family: Bacterial small subunit ribosomal RNA
Source: RNAcentral